This 916-nucleotide ribosomal RNA is filed under the name uncultured archaeon. RNAcentral's name for it is "bacterial SSU rRNA". It matches the Rfam family "Archaeal small subunit ribosomal RNA", at positions 1 to 925 of the family's 1478-position model. The record is from RNAcentral.
AUUUUCGGUUGAUCCUGCCGGCGGUCAGGCUAUUGGAAUUCGAUUAAGACAUGCGAGUCGAGAGUCGCAAGGACUCGGCGGACCGCUCAGUAACACGCGGAUAACAUGCCCUUGGGUGGGGGAUAACCUCGGGAAACUGAGAAUCCUCUCCCCAUAGAUCUAGAAAGCUGGAAUGCUUUUAGAUCCAAAACUCCGGUGCCCAAGGAUUGGUCUGCGGCGUAUCAGGUUGUAGUGGGUGUAACGGACCCCCUAGCCUAUGACGCGUAAGGGCCUUGAGAGAGGGAGCCCUGAGAUGGACUCUGAGACAUGAGUCCAGGCCCUACGGGGCGCAGCAGUCGCGAAAACUUCACAAUGGGGGAAACCCCGAUGAGGGAAUUCCAAGUGUCAGCACAUUGUGUUGGCUGUUCUUUGGUCUAAAAAACCAGAGAAGUAAGGGCCGGGUAAGACGGGUGCCAGCCGCCGCGGUAAUACCCGCGGCCCGAGUGGUGGUCGAUAUUAUUGAGCCUAAAACGUCCGUAGCCGGUUUUGUAAAUCCUUGGGUAAAUCGACCAGCUUAACUGUUCGAAGUCCGGGGAGACUGCAAGACUUGGGAUCGGGAGAGGUGAGAGGUACUUCUGGGGUAGGGGUAAAAUCCUGUAAUCCUAGAAGGACCACCGGUGGCGAAGGCGUCUCACUAGAACGAAUCCGACGGUGAGGGACGAAGCCCUGGGGCGCAAACGGGAUUAGAUACCCCGGUAGUCCAGGGUGUAAACGCUGCGGGCUUGGUAUUGGGGGUCCUUUGAGGGCGCCCAGUGCCGGAGAGAAGUUGUUAAGCCUGCUGCUUGGGGAGUACGUCCGCAAACAUAAACUUAAAGGAAUUGGCGGGGGAGCACCGCAACGGGACCCCUGCGGUUCAAUUGGAUUCAACGCCGGAAAU